RNAcentral lists this ribosomal RNA (1122 nucleotides) under Levilactobacillus brevis. RNAcentral describes it as "bacterial SSU rRNA". It matches the Rfam family "Bacterial small subunit ribosomal RNA", at positions 173 to 1287 of the family's 1533-position model. The record is from RNAcentral. Lineage: Bacteria; Bacillati; Bacillota; Bacilli; Lactobacillales; Lactobacillaceae.
AACAAAACCCGGAAGGAUUUUGUUUGAAAGGUGGCUUCGGCUAUCACUUCUGGAUGAUCCCGCGGCGUAUUAGUUAGUUGGUGAGGUAAAGGCCCACCAAGACGAUGAUACGUAGCCGACCUGAGAGGGUAAUCGGCCACAUUGGAACUGAGACACGGCCCAAACUCCUACCGGAGGCAGCAGUAGGGAAUCUUCCACAAUGGACGAAAGUCUGAUGGAGCAAUGCCGCGUGAGUGAAGAAGGGUUUCGGCUCGUAAAACUCUGUGGUUAAAGAAGAACACCUUGGAGAGUAACUGUUCAAGGGUUGACGGUAUUUAACCAGAAAGCCACGGCUAACUACGUGCCAGCAGCCGCGGUAAUACGUAGGUGGCAAGCGUUGUCCGGAUUUAUUGGGCGUAAAGCGAGCGCAGGCGGUUUUUUAAGUCUGAUGUGAAAGCCUUCGGCUUAACCGGAGAAGUGCAUCGGAAACUGGGAGACUUGAGUGCAGAAGAGGACAGUGGAACUCCAUGUGUAGCGGUGGAAUGCGUAGAUAUAUGGAAGAACACCAGUGGCGAAGGCGGCUGUCUAGUCUGUAACUGACGCUGAGGCUCGAAAGCAUGGGUAGCGAACAGGAUUAGAUACCCUGGUAGUCCAUGCCGUAAACGAUGAGUGCUAAGUGUUGGAGGGUUUCCGCCCUUCAGUGCUGCAGCUAACGCAUUAAGCACUCCGCCUGGGGAGUACGACCGCAAGGUUGAAACUCAAAGGAAUUGACGGGGGCCCGCACAAGCGGUGGAGCAUGUGGUUUAAUUCGAAGCUACGCGAAGAACCUUACCAGGUCUUGACAUCUUCUGCCAAUCUUAGAGAUAAGACGUUCCCUUCGGGGACAGAAUGACAGGUGGUGCAUGGUUGUCGUCACCUCGUGUCGUGAGAUGUUGGGUUAAGUCCCGCAACGAGCGCAACCCUUAUUAUCAGUUGCCAGCAUUCAGUUGGGCACUCUGGUGAGACUGCCGGUGACAAACCGGAGGAAGGUGGGGAUGACGUCAAAUCAUCAUGCCCCUUAUGACCUGGGCUACACACGUGCUACAAAGGACGGUACAACGAGUCGUGAAGUUGUGAGGGUUAGCUAAUCUUUUAAAGCCGUUA